AGUGAACGCUGGCGGCGGGCCUAAUACAUGCAAGUCGAAGGAAGAGGCGCACGGGUGAGUAAUAUAUAGCUAAUUGGCCCCUGGCUGGAGGACAACAGUUAGAAAUGACUGCUAAUACGCCAUAGCAUGGGAUGGGACUAUAUCGGAUCAGCUAGUCGGUGGGGUAACGGCCUACCGAGGCUAUGACGCGUAACUGGUCUGAUAGGAUGAUCAGUCAAAUUGGAACUGAGACACGGUACAUACUCAUACGGAAGUCAGCAGUAGGGACAUUUGCGCAAUGGGCGAAACCCUGACGAAGCUACGCCGCGUGGAGGACGACACUUUUCGGAGCGUAAACUCCUUUUGUUAGUGAAGCGGUACCUACAGAAUAAGCACCGGCUAACUCCGUGCCAGCAGCCGCGGUAAUAC
Molecule: ribosomal RNA, 408 nt
Filed under: uncultured bacterium
Lineage: Bacteria
Description: partial 16S ribosomal RNA
Rfam family: Bacterial small subunit ribosomal RNA
Source: RNAcentral